AGAACGAACGCUAGCGGCGUGGAUAAGACAUGCAAGUCGAACGGGUAGCAAUACUAGUGGCGAACGGGUGCGUAACACGUAGGCAAUAUACCGGGAAGUGGGGGAUAGCCCAGGGAAACUUGGAUUAAUACCGCAUGUGGCGGCAGGUGGCAUCACUUGUUGUCAAAGGAGGGGAUCGCAAGACCUUUCGCUUCCUGAUUAGCCUGCGGCCUAUCAGCUUGUUGGAGAGGUAACGGCUCACCAAGGCGACGACGGGUAGCUGGUCUGAGAGGAUGACCAGCCACAUUGGAACUGAGACACGGUCCAGACACCUACGGGUGGCAGCAGUCGAGAAUCAUUCACAAUGGGCGAAAGCCUGAUGGUGUGACGCCGCGUGGAGGAUGAAGGUCUUAGGAUUGUAAACUCCUGUCAUUCAUGAGCAAGGUUACUGGGUUAAUAACCGUGGGACUUGAUAUUAGUGAAGAGGAAGAGACGGCUAACUCUAGCG
This 487-nucleotide ribosomal RNA is filed under the name uncultured bacterium. Its description in RNAcentral is "SSU rRNA". It matches the Rfam family "Bacterial small subunit ribosomal RNA", at positions 26 to 513 of the family's 1533-position model. The record is from RNAcentral.